Long non-coding RNA from Athalia rosae (coleseed sawfly), 2343 nucleotides. RefSeq lists it as uncharacterized. The record is from RefSeq and is a predicted model, not a curated record. The transcript is spliced from 2 exons. NCBI's taxonomy places the organism in Eukaryota, Metazoa, Arthropoda, Insecta, Hymenoptera, Athaliidae.
CCUACUCGACGACAAACUUGCGAGUCAAUUUCAAACAAAGGAUAUACAUGUACUGUACACGAAACACACUCAAUUGACGUUAGAUCGUCAUUAGGUUUACUUUGGACUUGGGAAUGAUGCCCACAUCUGCUGCGACUGGACAUACGGUGUAGGUAAUAAACCUCCGGCGCCAAGCACAUUAAUAAUUUAAAUAAUGUAGCAGAAGCAGAGCUUUCUCAAAAACGAAGCAGCAACAAAAGGAAAAACGCUGCCAACCGUUCAAAAACACCGGAGACUUGCAUGACAGGAAAGAAGCGCGCAUAUUAAUUCAAUUCACAUAAAACCAGUGCUUUGAUCGGCAAAGAAUUGUACAACCUUUCGUACGGACCAUGUCAUAUAAACUGACCGUUGCUUUGUUACUUUUGCAUUUACAUAAAUUCGCCAUCAUCAUUAUUUCAUCGUAUACACAUUAGUCAAAGGAUUUAAGGGAUGAAAAAAAAAAUCCCAAAUUUUCGUGUGAUUUGCAAAGGGUUGUAACUUUUUGAAAAAUGAUAUUGGGAAACAAAAGGGUGAAGGGAAUCGUAACUCCGAGUUUCGUGUUUUCAAAUCCGGCAUUCAAAAUUUUUUAGUAGCAAUAAAAAUUUCCUUAUUUCACCAUUUUUUUACCGAGUUACAGCCCUUUGAAAAUCACACGAAAAUUUGGGAUCUCUUUUUAUCCCUCAAUGUCCGUGACUUGGUGCAUUUAACGAACUAUCGAAAAAAUAUGAGAUUUCAUAAAUGGAAAAAAAUUUAAGCAAAAAAAAAAAUCAAAUAAUCGACAAGCUAGCAAUAAUAGUUGUACGUUCAACACAUCUACAGCGGUGUACCUAGAGAAUAUACACAUCGUGUCAAGGCUGAUGUUUAUUGAUCGAGCAUUACCUACACGCAAAUGUGAUCGUGUAAACGAACAUGAACCACGUAUCGUAUGUACUACAUGGAUCAUAAAUUUACAGUGACGUAUUUUUCGUUGCAAGGGCCCGUAGCGUCGUUAGAAGCGGGGAUAUAUUAUUGAAUAUUUUUUUCUUCAUUUUCUUUUCUAGGACAAGAUCUACAUUAUUAUAGAUAUAUCAUUUCUACCGGACAAUCAGAAUUAUUUCUAUACUUUAUACCGUUUCUGUCUUAUUGAUUCCCCCCGUCUCACCCCCGAUCAUAUUUUUAGUGACAGAUAGGCAGGCAGGUGGGUAGGGGGAGGGGGGGGGGAUGUUUUUCGGUUCGUGCAACGCAUCGACGACGUCGAGGUCAGCUGAGCGUCGACUGCGGUACAGCUGUAGCAAAAACAAGAUGGCUGAAACGAACAGCUGAUCGUUCACGGUCUGCGCGAGGUGAUCAUCACUGCCGUGCAUUUGUGACAAAAUUAUUCAAAAAAAUCAUCAUUUGUUGGGAAAAGUUGGAAAGAAUAAUAACAUGAGUAACUAAUAUGGAAGUAGAUGUGUGAAUGAAUGAAGAGAAAGAAAAAUAUUGAAAAACGGGUUCAAACACGAUGCUGAGAUUUCCAAAUAUCCGAAGGGAAUUUACCGAUGUUAAAGUUCUAUUUCAGGUCACACUCGGACCUAAAAUGGAACCCUAUAAUGUGCUUCCCCUUCGCUCCUCUGUCGGCCAUGAUUAUAAUCGUUGAUUUUUCUUACAAAUAAUACCAGUAAUAAUAAUGGUAAUAAUAAGGAUACAGAUGACAUAAUUUAAUGGGCAUGAUCAAUGCUUCGAUAUCUAAGAUAGUCAAUUAUAUAACUGAAACGAUUGUAUCCAGAUUAGUGAUAUUGGAAAGAAAAAUUAGAUUAUAUUACCGAGGACAAGCGAUUAUGCACCUCAAUUUAUUAUAAUUCAUAACGUUCUGACGAAAAUAAUAUUGUUUGUUGAUCUCACAAUAAAUGUUUUACAUCCAUGCGCGCAUGAUGUAAUAAAAAAUGUCCAUUCAAAUAAGGGAGAAACGAAAUACUGAUGAUUUAGAAGAAAGGAAGAGAAGACAAAAAAAAAAUUAGCCCGAAACUCGAUAUAUCACGAUAAUUAUGUUACCUACUGAAUUUAACAUUGUACAAAAAUUGGAAAUAGAUGUAUUUAGUGUAUUUAGUGCUUCAACGCAGGUGGAUUGUAUUUCACUUUGCACAAUAACUGAAUAGAUACAAGUAUAAUAUAUCGCGUGUAUCGUACAAGUAUAGGUGUACCCAUGUAACCCAAGAACCCGUAAGGUAGGUAUAGGAAAGGAAACUAGACUCGGUUAUCAUCAUCGGAGCACCUCAGAUGUAGGACUUAAAGUCGAGCUUCAAAUAUGUAAAACUAUUUAUAUAUACCAACAGAUUCGCCUAUAACUAAUAAACACAAAACGCUGAA